Molecule: long non-coding RNA, 997 nt
Filed under: Coturnix japonica (Japanese quail)
Lineage: Eukaryota; Metazoa; Chordata; Aves; Galliformes; Phasianidae
Description: lncRNA (ENSCJPG00005012507.1)
Source: RNAcentral
CCCCCACUUCCUUUUGAAUAGUUCCUGACUACAGGAAAUGAAUUUCUUAUCUGUAAAUUGGGUUUCUACAAAACAGAUUUCCAUACGUUGGCUAAUUUUGCAUUUAUACCAGGAAAAGAUCUGCAUUAAGUUUUACAACCGGAGUGAAAAGUCCAUCUGGGCUCUGUGCGAUCAGCAGCUCAUGACCAAGAGGACUUGUUUCCAUCUGCAGUGAUCUUAUCUCAAAGCCACAAGGAAAAGAUGCAAAGCUUGACUUGAGAGCCUGCUUCGCAGAAUCCAGUUAUUGGCAAAGAAAUCUACACUGAGGUAUUUCAUUAUAACUGCAGUGGUGAUUAUUGUGUGUUUGCUGCACAGCCCAGUAUCCCAUGACUUUGGAGUGCUCCAGGCAAACCAGAGAUGCGGUCAGGGUCAGUGCAAUCUUACCGUGUGACAACAGAAGGCAAAGCUGACUGACUGGUUCCUGUUUCUGUCCCUCCGACCUGCCAGCAGCUCAGCAGAUGCUCAAGGAUGUCACCCAGCUCAAACUGUUUCCUUUCCAUGUCUGGUAUUUGCCAACUCUCUUCUAAUGAGAUGUCCUCACUUGGAAUUUAUACAGGUGCACUUCAAGAGGAAGAACUUGAACUUCUGCACAUGUGGCUGUUCUGCACAGCUGAAUAUCUGUGUGACCUGGUAUAUCAACAGUCAACGUCCCCCGGAAAAGCUUUGCAGAUUUGGGUCGGCUCCCUGGUUGAAGGAUGUAAGGAAUGAAAAGAGACCAUGGAGAGAAGGAGGUGACAUAGAGAGAAUGACUGAGUGCCUGGAGUUUCCCUCUGAACACCAGACGAAAAUGUGGAGCAUCUGGUCAGGAAAACCACACUUCAGAAGAUUUAAAUAUAGUGUCUUGUUAUCUCAGUCUAUUUCCUUGACAGAACAUGAGGCUGAAUAUCUUUUUGUUGAAUUUCUUUCUCUCUUUUUUUUCAUAAAGAAGCUGAUAAAUCAGGAGGAUUACAGGGAAUGA